CCACUCAUCAACUCUCUUAAGCUAUUUGCAAGUCUCUUCUGUCUAAAAUGGCUCCCAAAUCAAAGCUACCGUAGAGAAAAAAAUCUGUUCGACGGUUAGAGAAAGAUGUGCGUAGAAAAAGAAUGAUUGUCGAGCCCUCUUCUGCUCCAACUCCAGUUUCAGGUCCUGCUCCAGCUUCUUCACAGUCUUCACUCAGUCCAAGUAAGG
RNAcentral lists this long non-coding RNA (207 nucleotides) under Elaeis guineensis (African oil palm). RNAcentral's name for it is "long non-coding RNA (EGUI_LNC002605)". The record is from RNAcentral. Lineage: Eukaryota; Viridiplantae; Streptophyta; Magnoliopsida; Arecales; Arecaceae.